This 460-nucleotide ribosomal RNA is filed under the name uncultured bacterium. RNAcentral describes it as "partial 16S ribosomal RNA". It matches the Rfam family "Bacterial small subunit ribosomal RNA", at positions 338 to 795 of the family's 1533-position model. The record is from RNAcentral.
CCUACGGGAGGCAGCAGUGAGGAAUAUUGGUCAAUGGACGAGAGUCUGAACCAGCCAAGUAGCGUGAAGGAUGACUGCCCUAUGGGUUGUAAACUUCUUUUAUAAAGGAAUAAAACGAGGCACGUGUGCCUUUUUGCAUGUACUUUAUGAAUAAGGAUCGGCUAACUCCGUGCCAGCAGCCGCGGUAAUACGGAGGAUCCGAGGGUUAUCCGGAUUUAUGGGGUUUAAAGGGAGCGUAGAUGGGUUGUUAAGUCAGUUGUGAAAGUUUGCGGCUCAACCGUAAAAUUGCAAUUGAUACUGGCAGUCUUGAGUACAGUUGAGGUAGGCGGAAUUCGUGGUGUAGCGGUGAAAUGCUUAGAUAUCACGAAGAACCCCGAUUGCGAAGGCAGCUUACUAAACUGUGACUGACAUUGAUGCUCGAAAGUGUGGGGAGCAAACAGGAUUAGAUACCCGUGUAGUC